RNAcentral lists this transfer RNA (95 nucleotides) under Streptomyces omiyaensis. RNAcentral's name for it is "tRNA-Gly". Lineage: Bacteria; Bacillati; Actinomycetota; Actinomycetes; Kitasatosporales; Streptomycetaceae. The record is from RNAcentral.
CCUCGCCCGAGCCGCCGGAGUGCCGGCCGACCGGCUUCCGGCCGCUCUCGACGUCCUCGCGCGGCACGGACUCGUCCUGCCUCCGGCGGCGGGGC